AGAGUUUGAUCCUGGCUCAGAUUGAACGCUGGCGGCAUGCCUUACACAUGCAAGUCGAACGGUAACAGGGAGCUUGCUCCGCUGACGAGUGGCGAACGGGUGAGUAAUAUAUCGGAACGUGCCUGAUAGUGGGGGACAACUAGUCGAAAGAUUAGCUAAUACCGCAUACGCCCUACGGGGGAAAGGGGGGGACUCGCAAGAGCCUCUCGCUAUCAGAGCGGCCGAUAUCUGAUUAGCUAGUUGGUGAGGUAAAGGCUCACCAAGGCGACGAUCUGUAGCUGGUCUGAGAGGACGACCAGCCACACUGGGACUGAGACACGGCCCAGACUCCUACGGGAGGCAGCAGUGGGGAAUUUUGGACAAUGGGGGAAACCCUGAUCCAGCAAUGCCGCGUGUGUGAAGAAGGCCUUCGGGUUGUAAAGCACUUUUGUCCGGAAAGAAAACUUCUGCCCUAAUACGGUGGGAGGAUGACGGUACCGGAAGAAUAAGCACCGGCUAACUACGUGCCAGCAGCCGCGGUAAUACGUAGGGUGCGAGCGUUAAUCGGAAUUACUGGGCGUAAAG
RNAcentral lists this ribosomal RNA (564 nucleotides) under uncultured Glaciimonas sp. Its description in RNAcentral is "bacterial SSU rRNA". It matches the Rfam family "Bacterial small subunit ribosomal RNA", at positions 8 to 565 of the family's 1533-position model. Lineage: Bacteria; Pseudomonadati; Pseudomonadota; Betaproteobacteria; Burkholderiales; Oxalobacteraceae. The record is from RNAcentral.